AAGUCGUAACAAGGUUUCCGUAGGUGAACCUGCGGAAGGAUCAUUAAAAAUUUGAUUUUUAAUUUAAUCCAUAUUUAUAUUAAACCCUUUUAAAUUUAAUUUUUAACUGGGCGAUAAAAAUUGAUCCGAUAUAUGCCAAUUUAAAGAAAAAUAAAGAACUACCCCUAAUAUAUCAUGUGUAGAAUAAAAUACCAUAAAACAAAACUUAUUUAUUAUAAAUUCAAAUAAAAAGAAUUACAUUGACCUAUUUUUAAAAUAAAAAAACAUUAUAUAUAAAAUAACUUUUAACAAUGGAUCUCUUGGCUCUU
RNAcentral lists this unclassified non-coding RNA (308 nucleotides) under fungal sp. RNAcentral's name for it is "partial internal transcribed spacer region". The stretch from base 1 to 46 matches the Rfam family "Eukaryotic small subunit ribosomal RNA", at positions 1786 to 1831 of the family's 1831-position model. Lineage: Eukaryota; Fungi. The record is from RNAcentral.